This is an RNA transcript of Rosa chinensis, 5027 nucleotides long. It is a transcript of the gene named probable pre-mRNA-splicing factor ATP-dependent RNA helicase DEAH5, with no coding region annotated. The transcript is spliced from 6 exons. The record is from RefSeq and is a predicted model, not a curated record. NCBI's taxonomy places the organism in Eukaryota, Viridiplantae, Streptophyta, Magnoliopsida, Rosales, Rosaceae.
AAAAACAAACUUUGUAUACGAAAAAUGCGUCUGAUAAAAUGCCCUUACCGGACCCGAGUCACCUUCACUAGGAUCCCUCCAACCGCAAGCCAGAGCCGUCGCGUCGUCGGCCUCAGCCCACCGUACUCUCAUCUUCGGUUGAAUUUCUCUCCCCUUUAGGCAUGAACUUGAGGUGGUGGGUUAUUGUAAAGGUAUCAGACACAAAGAUCAUCUGACCACACAUUGUACCACAGCACUUGCAGGGUGACUUUUUGGCAGUAGUUGCAUAGACACUUAUACCCUUUGUACUCAUUUCCUUUAUCUGUUUGCUUUCUUUUUGUUGUGUUUCAAUAUCUCCAAAGAUGGCUGCCAUUGAUGAUGGUUUGAAGAAGCUCGAGUACCUUUCCUUGGUUUCCAAAGUCUGUUCAGAGCUGGAAACCCAUCUAGGGUUUGGGGAUAAAGUUCUUGCUGAGUUCAUAACUGAGAUGGGACGAAACUGUGGGAACGUGGAUGAAUUUGAUGCCAAAUUGAAGGAGAAUGGUGCCGAGAUGCCCGAUUACUUUGUCCGCACACUCCUCACUAUCAUUCAUGCAAUUCUUCCUCCGAAGCCAAAGUCUGAGAAUGACUCAAUGAUAGACAGUACUACUGAAGGUAAGAAGACCAAGUUUAAGGCUCUGUCUAUUGCUGAUAACAGGGAUAGGGUAAAUGAUCUCCAGAGGGAAAUUGAGAUGGAGACCAAAGAAAAGAAAAGUGACCGAGAAGAGUGGGGUGAUGAGCGUGAAGAAGAUAGGCGUAGAGGUAGAGGUAGAGAUAGAGACAGAUAUGGGGAAAGGGAUCGAGACAGAGAUAGAGAUAGGGAUAGGAGAGAGAGGGGCAGGGAUAGGUAUGACAGAGAUGAGAGGCGUAGAGAUACACAUCAUGAUUAUGAUAAGGGAAGGCAUACAGACCGAUCCAAUAAGCACAGAAGGGAUGGGUAUCAAGAGGAUGAAGAUGUUAGAGAAGAUGGUGGUAACAGGAGAGGAGGUGGGGAUCAGCGGAGUGGACUGCACCAUUCUGAUGAGCCUGAAUUGUAUCAGGUUUAUAAGGGCAGGGUAUCAAAAGUCAUGGACACGGGUUGCUUUGUUCAGUUCAGUGACUUUAGGGGGAAGGAGGGUUUGGUUCAUGUUUCACAGAUGGCAACACGGCGUAUUGGUAAUGCUAAAGAUGUGGUGAAGAGGGAUCAAGAGGUCUAUGUUAAGGUGAUUUCAGUUUCUGGUCAGAAGUUGAGCCUUUCAAUGAGGGAUGUUGAUCAGCAUACCGGAAAGGAUUUGCUUCCAUUGAAGAAGAGCUCAGAGGAUGACGCUCAUAGGACAAACCCUUCGGUAUCAAAGCAUGAUGGGCCUGUGACAAGGACUGGUCUUUCUGGGAUUAGAAUUGUGGAAGAGAACAAUGUUGCCCCUUCUCGGCGGCCAUUAAAGAGAAUGAGCUCGCCGGAGAAGUGGGAAGCCAAACAGUUGAUUGCCUCAGGUGUUUUGGGGGUUACAGAAUAUCCAAUGUAUGAUGAGGAAACAGAGGGGAUGCUUUAUGAAGAAGAGGGAGCUGAGGAAGAGCUUGAAAUUGAGCUUAAUGAGGAUGAGCCAGCCUUUUUGCAAGGGCAAAGCAGGUAUUCUGUAGAUAUGUCACCUGUGAAAAUCUUUAAGAAUCCAGAGGGGUCAUUAAGUCGUGCAGCUGCACUUCAAUCUGCACUUAUUAAAGAGCGCAGAGAAGUGCGUGAGCAGCAGCAAAGAACCAUGUUGGAUUCAAUCCCAAAGGAUCUGAAUCGUCCCUGGGAAGAUCCAAUGCCAGAGACUGGUGAGAGGCAUCUUGCACAGGAGCUUAGAGGUGUUGGUUUGUCGGCCUAUGACAUGCCUGAGUGGAAGAAGGAUGCUUUUGGGAAGACUGUUAGUUUUGGGCAGAGGUCAAAGCUCUCACUUCAGGAACAGAGGCAGAGCUUGCCUAUCUACAAGCUCAAGAAAGAAUUGGUUCAGGCAGUGCAUGAAAAUCAAGUUCUUGUUGUCAUUGGUGAGACUGGUUCGGGCAAGACAACCCAGGUAACACAAUAUCUUGCAGAAGCAGGUUACACAACAAUGGGUAAGAUUGGGUGUACACAACCACGUAGGGUGGCUGCGAUGUCUGUAGCCAAGAGAGUUGCUGAAGAAUUUGGUUGUCGUUUGGGGGAGGAAGUUGGCUAUGCUAUUCGUUUUGAGGAUUGCACUGGCCCUGAUACUGUCAUCAAGUACAUGACUGAUGGUAUGCUUCUUAGGGAGAUUUUGAUCGAUGAAAACCUUUCUCAGUACUCUGUGGUCAUGCUUGAUGAAGCUCAUGAGAGGACAAUCCAUACAGAUGUUCUUUUUGGAUUAUUGAAGAAACUUAUCAAGCGGAGACCAGACCUACGUUUAAUUGUCACAUCUGCUACCUUAGAUGCUGAGAAGUUUUCAGGUUAUUUCUUCGACUGUAACAUCUUCACUAUACCGGGGAGAACUUUUCCUGUAGAGAUACUAUACACCAAGCAGCCAGAAAGUGAUUAUCUUGAUGCAUCUCUAAUCACUGUUCUACAGAUUCACUUAACAGAACCAGAAGGGGAUAUCCUUCUCUUCUUGACGGGACAGGAAGAAAUUGAUUUCUCAUGCCAGUCACUUUUUGAGAGGAUGAAAGGUCUUGGUAAAAAUGUACCUGAGUUGAUUAUCUUACCAGUUUACAGUGCCCUUCCUAGUGAAAUGCAGUCGAGGAUUUUUGAUCCAGCUCCACCUGGGAAGAGGAAAGUAGUUGUGGCUACUAAUAUUGCUGAGGCAUCACUAACCAUUGAUGGGAUAUUUUAUGUAAUUGAUCCUGGAUUUGCAAAGCAAAAUGUUUAUAACCCAAAGCAAGGGCUGGAUUCACUGGUCAUAACCCCAAUUUCACAAGCAUCAGCCAAGCAAAGAGCUGGGCGCGCUGGGCGUACUGGGCCUGGAAAGUGUUACCGCCUCUACACUGAGAGUGCAUACCGCAAUGAGAUGUCCCCUACUUCAGUUCCAGAAAUUCAGAGGAUAAAUCUUGGGUUAACUACACUUACCAUGAAAGCAAUGGGGAUAAACGAUCUGUUGUCUUUUGAUUUUAUGGAUCCUCCGUCACCCCAAGCACUCAUUUCUGCUAUGGAACAACUGUACAGUUUAGGAGCACUCGAUGAGGAGGGGCUUCUCACCAAACUGGGUAGGAAAAUGGCUGAGUUUCCUCUUGAUCCACCACUAUCUAAGAUGCUACUGGCCAGUGUGGACCUUGGAUGCAGUGAUGAGAUCUUGACCAUGAUUGCCAUGAUUCAGACAGGCAAUAUAUUUUACAGGCCUAGGGAAAAACAAGCCCAGGCUGAUCAGAAGAGAGCCAAGUUUUUCCAGCCAGAGGGAGACCAUCUGACUUUACUUGCAGUGUAUGAGGCUUGGAAAGCUAAGAACUUUUCAGGGCCAUGGUGCUUUGAGAACUUCGUUCAGUCUCGAUCCCUUAGGAGGGCACAGGAUGUCAGAAAACAGCUUCUAAGCAUCAUGGAUAAGUAUAAACUGGAUGUUGUGAGUGCUGGAAAGAAUUUUACACAGAUCAGGAAGGCAAUUACGGCGGGAUUUUUCUUCCAUGGUGCUAGAAAGGACCCUCAGGAGGGGUAUAGAACCUUAGUGGAGAACCAGCCAGUUUAUAUCCAUCCAAGCAGUGCGCUCUUCCAGAGACAACCAGAUUGGAUCAUCUACCAUGAGUUGGUUAUGACUACGAAGGAGUAUAUGCGUGAGGUAACCGUCGUUGACCCCAAAUGGCUUGUGGAACUAGCACCCAGGUUCUUCAAAGUGGCAGACCCUACCAAGAUGAGUAAGCGCAAGCGUCAAGAGCGUAUUGAACCGCUAUAUGACAGAUACCAUGAACCAAACUCUUGGCGUCUUAGUAAACGACGUGCAUGAUAUGUGUUGGUUUCAAGCCUGCUGUCAGCGUGAAUGUGUUUUGAUUUUUCUUUUAGUGCAAAUGUAAACGGAUUGUAAGACAACUUCUACAUACUCUAUCUACUUCGUAUCCAUUUUGGGGUCGAAGAAGAAAUCACAGCUCCAGCAGUCUCCAUCUGGCUCUCUAUUUGGAAACAUAUUUGCCUCUGCAGAUGUGCAGAGGAGAGAGAAACAAAGGGCCAUUUCUUUUGCAAGGGGCAGAAAUUCAAUUCCAUAAGGUUCCAGUGUUGUUUAUUUCUUCACAACCGCUUCUGUUUCGAACUCAUGAAAAAAUCUUCCAAAACCUUUUGCACCAUAUCAGAUUGGAGAUUGAACAAGGUCUGUUUACUUACAUAAUAACAAUGAUUUUAUCCUUUAUUGACAUAUACCACCUUUUUUUUGAGGUUUUAUUUUGGUACUAAUUUUCUUUGACUUCGGUAUAUCUUUUAUUGUUAUGCUGUUCAAUUAAAGUAUCGAGAAUACACUUUUUUUUAUGCCUUCAACUGUGUUUGAUGAGUGGCUUCAGUGGACGGCUGGCAUCCUACAGUUCCAAGUCCAGGUUCAUUGUUGUUUUAAUUUCCUGAAGAGGGUAGUAUUGGGAACCAGGGAAUUUGAUUAGAGGAUUUAGAGAAGUUGAGAAGAUUUCUUAUAUCUGUCUUUUGUCAGAAUGGUCUUUUGAUAAUUGCUUUUCAAGUCUGUGGCGCCAAGCUAACCUAGGUCUUUCUGGGACCUCAACACUACUUAUAAUAGGAAUUCUUUAUGGAAAAUGGUUGACAGGAAGGUCCCGCCCAGCUGCUUUAGCGGUGUCUUUCUCAUGUUGGUGUGAGGCUUUGAGCUUUGACCAGUUUCACUUUGCUCUGAAAGUAAAGGGCCGCUGGACAUUCUUUUGAGGUUCGUUAGAGGCUAAUUUUCUAGUGACUUCUUUUCCCCUCUCGAGUCUGCGGCAUCUUGGUUGCAAGAAUAGUGAAUUUUAUAAUUUGCAGUUAAGUUGUGUUUCAAGAUCUACCAUUUACUUUGUAUAGAUGCGGUUUUUGUAUACAAAAUGCUCUGUUUUUGUAUCACAGUUUUGUUAAAAGAAGUAAAUUAUUUUGGAUA